UGGGGAAUAUUGCACAAUGGGCGAAAGCCUGAUGCAGCAACGCCGCGUGCGGGAUGAAGGCCCUAGGGUUGUAAACCSUUUCAGCAGGGAAGAAAAUGACGGUACCUGUAGAAGAAGGUGCGGCCAACUACGUGCCAGCAGCCGCGGUGACACGUAGGCACCAAGCGUUGUCCGGAUUUAUUGGGCGUAAAGAGCUCGUAGGCGGUUCAGUUAGUCGGGUGUGAAAACUCUGGGCUCAACCCAGAGACGCCACCCGAUACUGCUGUGACUAGAGUGCGGUAGGGGAGCGGGGAAUUCCUAGUGUAGCGGUGAAAUGCGCAGAUAUUAGGAGGAACACCAGUGGCGAAGGCGCCGCUCUGGGCCGUAACUGACGYUGAGGAGCGAAASKNGGGUAGCAAACAGGAUUAGAUACCCUGGUAGUCCACGCCGUAAACGUUGGGCACUAGGUGUGGGUCUCAACCAACGAGAUCCGCGCCGUCGCUAACGCAUUAAGUGCCCCGCCUGGGGAGUACGGUCGCAAGGCUAAAACUCAAA
Molecule: ribosomal RNA, 534 nt
Filed under: uncultured Actinomycetes bacterium
Lineage: Bacteria; Bacillati; Actinomycetota; Actinomycetes
Description: bacterial SSU rRNA
Rfam family: Bacterial small subunit ribosomal RNA
Source: RNAcentral